RNAcentral lists this ribosomal RNA (253 nucleotides) under uncultured bacterium. Its description in RNAcentral is "partial 16S ribosomal RNA". It matches the Rfam family "Bacterial small subunit ribosomal RNA", at positions 524 to 776 of the family's 1533-position model. The record is from RNAcentral.
UACGUAGGGUGCAAGCGUUAAUCGGAAUUACUGGGCGUAAAGCGUGCGCAGGCGGUUGUGCAAGACAGAUGUGAAAUCCCCGGGCUUAACCUGGGAAUUGCAUUUGUGACUGCACGGCUAGAGUGUGUCAGAGGGGGGUAGAAUUCCACGUGUAGCAGUGAAAUGCGUAGAUAUGUGGAGGAAUACCGAUGGCGAAGGCAGCCCCCUGGGAUAACACUGACGCUCAUGCACGAAAGCGUAGGGAGCAAACAGG